AUUGAACGCUGGCGGCAGGCCUAACACAUGCAAGUCGAACGGUAGCACAGAGAGCUUGCUCUCGGGUGACGAGUGGCGGACGGGUGAGUAAUGUCUGGGAAACUGCCCGAUGGAGGGGGAUAACUACUGGAAACGGUAGCUAAUACCGCAUAAUGUCGCAAGACCAAAGAGGGGGACCUUGGGGCCUCUUUCUAUCGGAUGUGCCCAGAUGGGAUUAGCUUGUUGGUGAGGUAAUGGCUCACCAAGGCGACGAUCCCUAGCUGGUCUGAGAGGAUGACCAGCCACACUGGAACUGAGACACGGUCCAGACUCCUACGGGAGGCAGCAGUGGGGAAUAUUGCACAAUGGGCGCAAGCCUGAUGCAGCAAUGCCGCGUGUGUGAAGAAGGCCUUCGGGUUGUAAAGCACUGUCAGCAGGGAGGAAGGCGAUACGGUUAAUAAACGUGUUGAUUGACGGUACCCGAAGAAGAAGCACCGGCUAACUCCGUG
Molecule: ribosomal RNA, 488 nt
Filed under: uncultured bacterium
Lineage: Bacteria
Description: partial 16S ribosomal RNA
Rfam family: Bacterial small subunit ribosomal RNA
Source: RNAcentral